UACGAAGGGGGCUAGCGUUGCUCGGAAUCACUGGGCGUAAAGGGUGCGUAGGCGGGUUUUUAAGUCAGAGGUGAAAUCCUGGAGCUCAACUCCAGAACUGCCUUUGAUACUGAAAGUCUUGAGUAUGGGAGAGGUGAGUGGAACUGCGAGUGUAGAGGUGAAAUUCGUAGAUAUUCGCAAGAACACCAGUGGCGAAGGCGGCUCACUGGCCCAUUACUGACGCUGAGGCGCGACAGCGUGGGGAGCAAACAGG
RNAcentral lists this ribosomal RNA (253 nucleotides) under uncultured bacterium. Its description in RNAcentral is "partial 16S ribosomal RNA". It matches the Rfam family "Bacterial small subunit ribosomal RNA", at positions 524 to 776 of the family's 1533-position model. The record is from RNAcentral.